Molecule: long non-coding RNA, 394 nt
Organism: Sycon ciliatum
Lineage: Eukaryota; Metazoa; Porifera; Calcarea; Leucosolenida; Sycettidae
Exons: 3
Source: RefSeq, a predicted model, not a curated record
AGACUCUUUGCAAAGCAGCCGAUCAGAUCCGUUUUUCUUCCUCCUAGUACAGCAGAAACUUGUGUACCUAACCGAGAUCACCAGUUACCAACUUUCCUUCCGCUCAGUUAGAUAGCCCCAUAGGCAUAGAUCAAGUAUCGGACAACUAGAACUACAGGCCUACCCUGACAAUGGAUGCCCAUGAAUCAAUAGAGAAUGGACUGGAAAGUGUAACGUUUGAUGUGUGGCAAGACAUCUUGUUGCCAAUGUUGUCUAUUCAAGACAUAUUUCAGCUCUGCGGUGUAAGCAAAUCCAUGCAACGGUUGCUGCUCAAUGAGUACACGUUCAGACAACUUUGUUUGCAACGCUAUCAUCUCAGUCCACAUUUGAAAGUGCCAUAUAUUCGAGUUGCAAA